This 209-nucleotide ribosomal RNA is filed under the name uncultured bacterium. RNAcentral's name for it is "partial 16S ribosomal RNA". It matches the Rfam family "Bacterial small subunit ribosomal RNA", at positions 29 to 220 of the family's 1533-position model. The record is from RNAcentral.
AACGAACGCUGGCGGUGUGCCUCAUACAUGCAAGUCGUACGCGAAUCCUGCCGCAAGGCAGGGUUUGAGUGGCAAACGGGUGCGUAACACGUAGGUAAUCUUCCUUUGAGUUGGGGAUAAGCCCUCGAAAGGGGGUCUAAUACCGAAUAACACUUCCGGUUGGCAUCAACCGGAAAUUAAAGAUGGCCUCUGCUUGCAAGCUAUCGCUC